This 206-nucleotide ribosomal RNA is filed under the name uncultured bacterium. RNAcentral's name for it is "partial 16S ribosomal RNA". It matches the Rfam family "Bacterial small subunit ribosomal RNA", at positions 568 to 774 of the family's 1533-position model. The record is from RNAcentral.
CAUGUAGGCGGUUUUUUAAGUCUGGAGUGAAAAUGCGGGGCUCAACCCCGUAUGGCUCCGGAUACUGGAAGACUUGAGUGCAGGAGAGGAAAGGGGAAUUCCCAGUGUAGCGGUGAAAUGCGUAGAUAUUGGGAGGAACACCAGUGGCGAAGGCGCCUUUCUGGACUGUGUCUGACGCUGAGAUGCGAAAGCCAGGGUAGCGAACG